This 88-nucleotide transfer RNA is filed under the name Anoxybacter fermentans. RNAcentral describes it as "tRNA-Leu". It matches the Rfam family "tRNA". Rfam says of the family: Transfer RNA (tRNA) molecules are approximately 80 nucleotides in length. The record is from RNAcentral. Lineage: Bacteria; Bacillati; Bacillota; Clostridia; Halanaerobiales.
GCAGAAGUGGUGGAAUGGCAGACACGCUAGCUUGAGGGGCUAGUGGGCGCUUAAGCCCGUGCGGGUUCAAAUCCCGCCUUCUGCACCA